AGAGUUUGAUCCUGGCUCAGGACGAACGCUGGCGGCACGCUUAACACAUGCAAGUCGAACGAGAGAAGAGGAGCUUGCUUUUCUGAUCUAGUGGCGGACGGGUGAGUAACACGUGAGCAAUCUGCCUUUCAGAGGGGGAUACCGAUUGGAAACGAUCGUUAAUACCGCAUAACAUAAUUGAACUGCAUGAUUUGAUUAUCAAAGAUUUAUCGCUGAAAGAUGAGCUCGCGUCUGAUCAGCUAGUUGGUAAGGUAACGGCUUACCAAGGCGACGAUCAGUAGCCGGACUGAGAGGUCGAUCGGCCACAUUGGGACUGAGACACGGCCCAGACUCCUACGGGAGGCAGCAGUGGGGAAUAUUGCACAAUGGAGGAAACUCUGAUGCAGCGAUGCCGCGUGAGGGAAGAAGGUUUUAGGAUUGUAAACCUCUGUCUUCAGGGACGAAAAAAGACGGUACCUGAGGAGGAAGCUCCGGCUAACUACGUGCCAGCAGCCGCGGUAAUACGUAGGGAGCGAGCGUUGUCCGGAAUUACUGGGUGUAAAGGGAGCAUAGGCGGGAUCGCAAGUCAGAUGUGAAAACUAUGGGCUUAACCCAUAAACUGCAUUUGAAACUGUGGUUCUUGAGUGAAGUAGAGGUAAGCGGAAUUCCUAGUGUAGCGGUGAAAUGCGUAGAUAUUAGGAGGAACAUCAGUGGCGAAGGCGGCUUACUGGGCUUUAACUGACGCUGAGGCUCGAAAGCGUGGGGAGCAAACAGGAUUAGAUACCCUGGUAGUCCACGCCGUAAACGAUGAUUACUAGGUGUGGGGGGACUGACCCCUUCCGUGCCGCAGCAAACGCAAUAAGUAAUCCACCUGGGGAGUACGACCGCAAGGCUGAAACUCAAAGGAAUUGACGGGGGCCCGCACAAGCAGUGGAGUAUGUGGAUUAAUUCGAAGCAACGCGAAGAACCUUACCAGGUCUUGACAUCGUAUGCAUAGCUCAGAGAUGAGUGAAAUCUCUUCGGAGACAUAUAGACAGGUGGUGCAUGGUUGUCGUCAGCUCGUGUCGUGAGAUGUUGGGUUAAGUCCCGCAACGAGCGCAACCCUUACUGUUAGUUGCUACGCAAGAGCACUCUAGCAGGACUGCCGUUGACAAAACGGAGGAAGGUGGGGAUGACGUCAAAUCAUCAUGCCCCUUAUGACCUGGGCCUCACACGUACUACAAUGGCUGUCAACAGAGGGAAGCAAAGCCGCGAGGUGGAGCGAGCCCCUAAAAGCAGUCUUAGUUCGGAUUGUAGGCUGCAACCCGCCUACAUGAAGUCGGAAUUGCUAGUAAUCGCAGAUCAGCAUGCUGCGGUGAAUACGUUCCCGGGCCUUGUACACACCGCCCGUCACGCCAUGGGAGUCGGUAACACCCGAAGCCUGUAGUCUAACCGCAAGGAGGACGCAGUCGAAGGUGGGAUUGAUGACUGGGGUGAAGUCGUAACAAGGUA
Molecule: ribosomal RNA, 1470 nt
Filed under: metagenome
Description: bacterial SSU rRNA
Rfam family: Bacterial small subunit ribosomal RNA
Source: RNAcentral